GGGCCCGUAGCUCAGCUUGGUGGAGCAUCUGACUCUUAAUCAGAGGGUCGCGAGUUCAAAUCUCGUCGGGCCCG
Molecule: transfer RNA, 74 nt
Filed under: Candidatus Woesearchaeota archaeon
Lineage: Archaea; Nanobdellati; Candidatus Woesearchaeota
Description: tRNA-Lys
Rfam family: tRNA
About the family: Transfer RNA (tRNA) molecules are approximately 80 nucleotides in length. Their secondary structure includes four short double-helical elements and three loops (D, anti-codon, and T loops).
Source: RNAcentral